UAGGAAGUGUGCCCUGAGGGUGGGGCUCUGU
Molecule: non-coding RNA, 31 nt
Filed under: Homo sapiens (human)
Lineage: Eukaryota; Metazoa; Chordata; Mammalia; Primates; Hominidae
Source: RNAcentral